RNAcentral lists this transfer RNA (72 nucleotides) under Camelus bactrianus (Bactrian camel). It matches the Rfam family "tRNA". From Rfam's summary of the family: Transfer RNA (tRNA) molecules are approximately 80 nucleotides in length. The record is from Rfam by way of RNAcentral. RNAcentral also lists the same sequence under 2 other names. Lineage: Eukaryota; Metazoa; Chordata; Mammalia; Artiodactyla; Camelidae.
GGGGGUAUAGCUUAGUGGUGGAGUGCAUGUCCAGCAUGCUUGAGGUUCAGGGUUCAAUCCCCAGUACCUCCA